GAUCUGAGGAAUGAAUGAAAUGAAGAGACUUGCUCAGUCGCCCAGUCUGGCUCCCACUGGUGGGGUGUGUGUGUGGAGGUGGCAUUCCGUCCCCCCACCUGUCUCACGACCAGGAGGCAGCAGAGUCACCACCCAGGAGGAGGCAAGAUGGUAACAUCCCACUGGGAAAGGCCAAUCUGGGAAGGACAAGGAAUUCAAACCCCAAAAGGUUGUCACCUAAUUCAACCAUUUUCCAUGAGAAACACCACCAUAGACUGAGUUCUGAGAAAAAUAACCACCAUCCUGUACGGAAGGAGCUUGCAAGCCUGUUGGGAUGAACUUGGAUGCAGUGGACCAGAAAUGAACCACAGAAGGCUCAAUGGCCUCAUUUUACAGCGUUUCUCAAAUUGCAGGUUUCAACCCAAAAUUGCAUCCCUUGUAGGAAGAGUGACCGGAGGCUCUAGAACAGCCUGUGGGGUUCACCCUGGACACCCAAUACACCAGCUCCCAGCACCCGGCUCUCCAAGGUAGUGAAUUCUGCUGAAGGAGCAAAUGAGUUCCCUUUAUGAAACUGAAAUUUCUUUACCCGUUAUUUACCACUAAGUAGUCGGUCUGCUAACAAGUUUUGAAGAGAUAAUCAUCCGUGUCAAAAUAUUGUUUAUGUACACUCGUGUUCCUGGCAGCACUAUUCACAAAAGCCAAAAGAUGGAAGCAACCCGUGUCCACUGGCAAACGAGUGGAUAAACAAGUGUGGUCUGUAUGUACAGUGGAAUAUUAUUUAACCAGAAAAGGGAAAGACAUUCUGGCACAGGCUUCACCAGGAAGCAACCUUAAAGACACUGCGUUAGGUGAAAUAAGCCAAUCACAAAAGGACAAAGACCAUAUAAUUCUCCUUAACGUGAGACACCUAGAGUAGUCAAAUUCAUAGAGACAGAAAGUACAAAGGUGUUUACCAGGACUAGGGGGAGGGAAGAAUGGGGAUUAAUGUUUAAUUGGUACAGUUUCCAUUUGGGAAAGAUGAAGAAAGUUCUGGAGACAGAUGGCGAUGAUGGUUACACAGAAAUGUGAAUGUGCUUAAUGCCAGUGAGCUGCACACUUAAAAAUGGUUACGAUAGUAAGUCUUA
Long non-coding RNA from Hippopotamus amphibius kiboko, 1103 nucleotides. RefSeq lists it as uncharacterized. The record is from RefSeq and is a predicted model, not a curated record. NCBI's taxonomy places the organism in Eukaryota, Metazoa, Chordata, Mammalia, Artiodactyla, Hippopotamidae. The transcript is spliced from 3 exons.